Molecule: transfer RNA, 87 nt
Filed under: candidate division WWE3 bacterium CG_4_10_14_0_2_um_filter_42_7
Lineage: Bacteria; candidate division WWE3
Description: tRNA-Tyr
Rfam family: tRNA
About the family: Transfer RNA (tRNA) molecules are approximately 80 nucleotides in length.
Source: RNAcentral
GCCGGGGUCGCAUAGUGGCAAUUGCACCUGACUGUAAAUCAGGUGACCGAAAGGUCUUCGGGGGUUCGAGUCCCUCCUCCGGCACCA